Molecule: long non-coding RNA, 199 nt
Filed under: Elaeis guineensis (African oil palm)
Lineage: Eukaryota; Viridiplantae; Streptophyta; Magnoliopsida; Arecales; Arecaceae
Description: long non-coding RNA (EGUI_LNC043245)
Source: RNAcentral
UACUAUAUAUGAAAAAAAAAAUUUCUACUCUGCAUCUUAUGUCUAAUUCGGAUCGUAUUCAAAUUAGACAAGAGAUAAUAUUAUGACUUAUCAGCUAUUAGCACCCACCCUCACUGGAUCCUCUCUCAUGAUGCCAAAAAUCACAAUCCAAAUCCAAUUAGGUGUGGAGAAAUUGGUAUGGAUCCAGAUGUGGCGCAAA